Molecule: long non-coding RNA, 297 nt
Filed under: Zonotrichia albicollis (white-throated sparrow)
Lineage: Eukaryota; Metazoa; Chordata; Aves; Passeriformes; Passerellidae
Description: lncRNA (ENSZALG00000006501.1)
Source: RNAcentral
GAAUACACGCUGAGGCCUGCAAAUAGUUGUAAUACCUAUGGGAGAACAACCGUUUUGUGUUUGUUCUGAUUGAUUCCAGGAUCUGCAUUUAAACAUAAUUUUAAUUCUCUGGGUUUUAUCAGAUGCUCUAAUUGUAAUUAUUCUGAGUUCUUUGAAGAGUAAAACAAGCCCAGUGAAGACAACUACAAGAAUGGAAUGUGCUGCACUCGAGAACUUCAUUUCUGUGACAGAGGCUGCUCCCAUCUCAGAAACCCACACGAUCCAUGGCCAAGGGUGUGUGUUGAGGAAGAAAUCUGU